This 38714-nucleotide long non-coding RNA is filed under the name Gossypium barbadense (sea-island cotton). RNAcentral describes it as "long non-coding RNA (GBAR_LNC019319)". The record is from RNAcentral. Lineage: Eukaryota; Viridiplantae; Streptophyta; Magnoliopsida; Malvales; Malvaceae.
CUUCUUCUUCUUCUAUUCUUUCUAAAAUAUAACAUUUAUAUUUUGCAAAUGCUUAAAUCUAAGUUUUUCACUUUGAUAUAAUUUAAUUCUAUAAAUAUUAACCUAAAAUUUUUUUCUUAAAAUCACCUGUCCCCACAAAAAAACUUCAUAUGUCAGCAUAAUGAAUUGAAAGGCUAUUUUUAAGAAAAACUUCAUAUUAACAUUUUAAUCGAGAUGAUUAAGUAAUUAACAAUAUUAUAAAAAUGAAGAGAUAAAAUUAUACUAAAUUAAUUAUAAAAAUUAAAUAUCAAAUUUAAGAUUAACAUAACUUUAAAUCGACAUAUUAACAAAACCUCAGUAAAUCCUUUUUAAAGUAAAAGCAAACAAAUAAAUUUUUAGAUGAAAUGAUCCCAAAUUAAUUAUAAGGAUCAAAAUCAUAAUUUAACUUUAAAUCUAUACAUGAAUUACACAAUCUCAGUGCGUGAAUUUUUGUAGUGGAUCAAAGCGCAAAAUUUUGAGCAGGCAAUUGUUGAAAUCUUUAUUUCUUUGAUUAGGACUCUUGAGUUUGGAUUGCAUGUUAGUUAAGGUGAUUUUAUUAUACGCAAACCCUGCUAUUUGGUCAUCUGUUCUUUCUUCUAUUCAAUCGGUUUUGAUUUUGGGUAAUAAUGUUCUUUAUUUUGAGAUUUCAAGAAGUAAGUUUGUUGGCUUGGAUUCAUUUAUAUUAUAAAAGUGUUUUGUUAAGCGGAUCGAAUAAUAUAUAAAAAUAAAUAAAAAUAUUAAUAAAGACUUAUAAAAUAUAAUUUAUUCAAUUAUAAAAUAUAUUUAAGUUUAUAAAAUAAUUUUUAUUGUUACUGUUUUUUCAAAAACCAUACGUAUUCAAUCGAGUAACUAUCUAAACUUAACUUGAUUCGAUUAUAAAAAGAGUUGAGGAUAAAAAUUUUAAAUAUUGAAAAUAAUAUAUGAAAAAAUUAACCAUCAAUUUAACUGAUCAGAAUAAAAGAAAAGUACAAUUAACUCUAAAUCCAACAUUCAGAUUCUAAACAACCCUUUCCUUUCGAAAUCUUUCUCCUUUCAAAAAUAUUAGACAAAAUCAACCACUAAAAAAAAAACAUAAAUUAUAUGUAAAAAAUGAGGAAAAACGUAGCAGUUGACUUUUUAAUCCCAAAGGUUGAAAAACAUGUCAUACGAGCCCUUCUUGUGUCUUUGGAUAUUUUUGGUCUUUUUGUCACUACAAAAUAAUGGGUCCAACUUUGUUUCGAACUUAAUCACAGUCCGAUUAAAAGAUGCAUUUCUUAUGCUUUCUCAAUUUCUGAUGUCAACCAUCACUCACUUUAAUUUACUACAAACUACUUGAUUAGGAUGUUUCUUAGCUUUAAUGCCUUGGUCCUAAACUAUGGAAAAUGUUUCUUUAAAAAUGAAAGCAAAUUCUGUUGACUCCAUUCAAAAAAAAAAAUGAAAUCACAAGUUUAAACAUGAUAAAUUAUAAUCUAACUUAUUUAUUGGGAUUUUAAUAAGAUUUAACUUAUUUUAGAUCCAAUAAAAGGCUAAACUAUUGAGAUUGAAGUGAUGUUUAAAAUUGAAACAUAUUUAAUGAUGGAGAGUGUUUUUGGCUUACCUAUUAAUUUAUAUUAUGUGUAUGUUCUAGAUUUAAGUUAUUUUUAUUUUUUAAAUUUUGAAAUUCAGAUUGAAAAUGAACAGAAUAAAAAAAAAUAAGAACUAAAUCUACAACUUAAAUAUAGUACAAAAUUAAUAUUAAAAUUUAAAUUAAUGAAUAUAAUUAUUAUUUAAGAUAAAUUGAAAUUUUAAAAUUGAGAAAAAUAUUAGACUAACAAGUAGUAAAUCCUUAGGUAGCAACAACAUCAGCACAAGACGAGAAGCAGUCGUUGGUGGAUGGAAUAUUAGAAGGCAGAGAUAGUGUGGGGUAUCCUAUGACUUUGGCCUAUUAGACAGCUUGUAGGCUAAUACGGUAUUCGGAGCUCCACUCCGCUCCCCACGAUCAACUCUAAACAAUAAUAUGACUUUGGUGUCCAUUGUCCUCUGGCAUCCGAUUUUUUUUUUUUAAAUCUUUAAUUUGCCAACCAAAGACAAUUUCACAACUACUUCCCUUUAUUUUUCCUUUCUCUCUUGUACUAUAUAAUAUAUAUACAACCCUUUUGUCUUCUUUCUUUAUUAACAUACAACACUCCUACCUCCAUUCGCCAGUGAAACUGUAAACAAAAUGAUUUUUAAACACUACCAUUCGUUUUAAUAUAUAUAUAUAUAUGACUAUUCAAAAAAUUGAACAUAUUUGUAUUAAAUAUCUCACCCACACUUCACAUAAAACAUAGCCCAAAAAGAAACCAUACUAUAUUCACUUACAUCAUUCAUGGCAGGCACCUUCAAUAAUAAAAAAAGACCAUCCCAUUUGUGUUUGUGAUGUGAACGUGUGCAUGGUUGAACCCAUUUGACACAAGACCUUCCAACAAACUCCUAUAUAACUUUCUUGUCCAAGGAUGUAGACGGUGCUGUUCUCAUCGAUCUUACUUCAUUGGCUUUUUUUGAUGGAUAAUCCAUCAGAAAACCAUCCUGCACAUGGUUAUAACAUCCACACUUGUACUUAAUCUGUUGAAUUCAUUCUCCAAUCAUGACUUUUGAGACAAGAAGCUUCUCAAGGUCAAUGUAAAUAGUUAAAGGGAAAAACUUUUGUUGCUUUCUAUAAUCCGUAUUAUAAUCUAAUUUAAUGCCCUUAUCAACUAAUUCCCCCGUCUCUAUCGAUAUGCUUUUUUCCUAUCUUCUUAUUUAAGAGAUUAUAGAUACUUUAUAAAAAAACAUUAUUUAUAUUGAGAUUUUAAUAAGAUUUUAUUUGUUUUAUGACUAAUAAAGCUCUUAAAGGUUAAACCAUUGAAACACAAGUGAAAAAGGUUAAUAUUGAAUAUUUUUUUAUGAUUGAGUCAGUGUUUUUAUGUCAACUAUUAAUUUAAUAGAUAAAUCUUACUGUCAUUUUUAAUCACAACAUUUUUUGAAUUAUGAAAUUCUAGAAUUUUAAAAGUAAGAUAAAAAAAAAUUAAUCAAACUAGAGAAUAAUGAUUAAAUUUACAACUUACGUAUCAUACAAAAUUAAUAGUAGAAUCUGACCUGAAUUAAUUUGAAAUAUAUAAAAACUAAAGUUACUCAUCCAACAAAUACUAAUAAUAUCUUAAUUUUACCUAGAAAGCAGGGAAGGAAAAGAGAAACAAAACAGAAACUUCCUAGGUAUAUCAGGAAUCCGUUGCUUAAGUUGGCUAACUUUGUCUUGCAUAUAAAAACAAAAGAAAUGGACAAGAGAUAGUUAAAAGAUAAUCCAUUUUAUUAAUAAAAUAUUUAAAUAUAAUCUUGGUUUAAUAUCCAUAUAUUUUCUAUAAUUAAAUAAAAUAUUUUAAAAUUUAUUUAAUUUUAAUUAAGGCUGAUGAUUUUUAUUUUUACUCAAAUUCAAAUCAAAGCAAGUCGAAUCUAUUAAGUAAAGCUUUUGUAUUUAUAUUUAACAUUUAUUUUGAGCUAAGUAUAAAUAUAGAAUUCUUUAAAUAUAAAAAAGUAAACAUGUUUGUAUUUAAAUAAAUGUUUAAAUGUUUGCAUCCCACACUCACUUCACAUGGCUAAUGAAAUUUUAAAAAAUCAAAAACCCAAAAAGGGAAACAAAGGUGCUUUGUAAUAAGCCAAUGUUAAAGAGUUCGGAUUUGCUUUGGUUUGAUUCAUUUCAUUCAUCUCAGCCCCACUUUUGUCUUCUUUCUUUAUUAUUUAAUUGUUGAGGGUUUAAUUUUCAUUUUGAAUAUGUAACAAUUUUAAAAAUUGUGGUGAGUAUCACUUAAAAUAAAAAAAAUUAAAGAAAAUGCUUGAAAACAGUGAAAUUGAAUGGCAAUUAGAAGGUUAGUCUUUGAGUUUGUGAUGUGAACGUGUGUGUAUGUCUGAACCAUUAGGGCUUAGGCACAAGACCUUCCAAGAGAUUCCUAUAUAAAAUUUUUCUUCCUGUUUUCUUGGUUUGCUAACUCAACAAAACAAAUUCGGAUAUCCGAAUUUGUGUUUGUGUAAUAAAAAGUGUACAACUACCUUCCUUUCUUUUUCAUUUCCUUUUUCUUCUCUAUUUAUAUCAAGCUCACCCUAUUAUAAAUACAUAUUAUAUAUACAUAUAUGCGCCUUUAUCUUCUUUCUUUAUUGCACCAAUCACUAUGAUUUUCCCACGAAAGAUUAAGACGUCUCUUUCUUCAAUUGCAGCAUUUUUCAUUCCACGCCGUCCUGAAUUAUACCGGCAAGAAGAGCCACCAUCGCUGCCACGGCCAGCAACCGCUGCCGGUAUCGACAUCGAAGGUCAGCCAUCAGCAUCUCUACAACCCCAAUUAUAGUCUCAGCUAGAGACUUUACCAGCCCUCCAGAAUCAUCAACAAUGGCAAAAUGCAGUGAUAUCAUUUUGCUUUUCAUAUGCAUUGGGUCUAUCCCUCCAAUAUGCAGAGACACCCCUUCAGUCCAAUCAACACCUCCCAUUUCCCACGGUAUUGCUUUCGUUCCUUGUCCUACUUACCUUCACUUGUAUCUUGGGUGCUUUCUUUAUCAACCCAUAUUGCACCACCACUUCGAAUGCAUUGCAGAAAGUUGGUCUCCUCCUGGCAGCAGCUGCAUUCACCCACACUCUUUCGAUUCCCUUACCGUUCGAGCUCAAGUGCACCAUAUGGGCGGUGUUUCUCCUCCCCUUGCUCACUGCCAUCAUCUUAACUUACUUCAAUACAAAGACGGCCUGAUUUUAAACUUACAAUCUGCUUGUUUCAUGGUACUGGUUGGUGUGACAGAGCAUUGAUUACAGAGUCGAAAGAACUUCAAAAUCUUCUUCAAAGUUGCAUUAUCUGUUAAUAGGUUGCUUGUAGUUAGUACAAAAUUUUGGGUUUCCAUGGGGAAUUUUUUUCGUGGUCAGAAUACUUGUACUGCUCUAUAUUAUUAGAAAAAAAGAUAUAGAAAUUAAAAAGAUAAAACAGAGUAAUAAUCUAGGCAGAAGUAUAAUGCAUUGUGAUUUUUAUACUUUUAAUAUGAGCAAAAGAUUUCUGUUUAAGUUAAAAAGAAAAAAAGUUAAAUGAUUGCAUUAUCAAUUAAAUGUGAUAGUUUGGAUUAAACUGUGAUGAGUGAAUUAAUCCAUCACAUGAAUUAUUGAUAUGAAUUCGAAUCGUAUUACUCUAUUUUUAAUAUUAUAUAAAAAAAUUAUCAUUAAAUAAUAAAAUAAUAACAUCGACUCAAAAAAUUAAUAGUUAAUUUGGUCUUAUAGUUCUAUAACUAAAAUAUUAGUUUUUUAUAAAAUAAAAAUCAAAUCCAUAACAUCGUUUACUAUUGCUAUUAUAAACUUACCAUAAAAAAUGAAAAUAAUAUGAAUUUUCAAAAUCUCAUGAAAAGAGAAAUAACGAUAAAAUGAACAAUCAUCAAGUAGUUGGUUGUAAUAAUAAGACAUAUUGUAUUUUUAAAGGGAGAAUCUAAAUUUGAAUCUUAGAAACAACAUUAUUAAGAGAAAUAAUCACGAAUUCUGAACAUAAAUUAUAAUACGAAAAAAAAAAUCAACAAAAGCCGCAACCAAAAUCUCACCCAUCGAGUCCAAAAGUCUUGAUUUUUUAUUAAAUAAUUUUAUCCAAAUUUCCUUCCAUAUUAAACAAACCUUCUUUUAGAAAAAUAAUUUGUCCUUUUGAUAAGUUUAAACCUAAAUGUAACACCCCUCACCCGUAUUCAACAUCAGAAUAGGGUACAAGGCAUUACCAGAACACAUACACUGUAAACGUAUUGAACCGAGUUAUAAAAUUUCAUUAAUAAUUAAAACUUUCAAAUUAUUAACAUGCUUUUAUAAUUCUUCACAAUAUAUACAAUGUAACAUUUCCUGCCAACCACAAUCUCAAAUAAUAAAUUUUCUCAGUCGAGCUCAAUAUCAGAUGUCAACUUAUAUUUCAACAUUUAGCUUCGAUUGUACUACAAAUACUUGUCAAAUUAAGGAUCGUCUUACGGAUUUGAGUACAUCGUUUGCCCGGUGCCACGAUUUGCUUGAAUAUUUUACAUUGCUAUAACUCAGUAUGGUUUUCUUCAUGGAAAUACCAUACCUACUUUUCACAACUCAGUAUGGUUUUCUUCACUGAAACACCAUACCUACUUUUCACAACUCAGUAUGGUUUUCUUCACUGAAACACCAUACUUACUUUUCACAACUCAGUAUGGUUUCUUUAUCGAAAUAACAUACUUACUUUUCACAACUCAGUAUGAUUUUCUUUAUCGAAAUACCAUACCUAUUUUUCACAACUCAGUAUGGUUUUCUUCACUGAAAUACCAUACCUACGUUUCACACUUUGCCAUGGAUCCACCAUGGACUUAUCCGUCAAUUCAUCACUGGUUACCGAACGUAUGUACUCAAUCCUGCGUAUCCCUUAAUUUGAACUAACAAUCUCAUCUUAUUCUCAUUUUUACCAUAAUCAUAAUUCAACAACAAUAUACGAAUUGAUACAUUAUAUCAUUCCCACAUUAACAAUUAAUCAUAAAAGUUCAGCCAUAUGAACUUACUAUUUCAUUACCUUUCCACACCCGUUUCCUAUGCAUAUCACACAAGACAUAAACAUAUCGUUCAACCAUAGUCGCAAGCUAGUGCAUUGAAACAUAAUUCUUUUUGGAAAUAAUCACAUAAUAAACCAUUUCGCUAAAGAUUUCAUAAUUUAAACCUUACCACCCCUUUCAUGAUCACAAUAUUUAUUCAUGUAUCAAACUUACCAACAUGUGUUAAUUCAAUACCCAUUCAUGACAUUACUUCAUGCCAAAUCAUAUACCAAAUAUACCAUACACACGUACUAUGAACUUUAUUUUCCCACAUGAGCUUAAACCAUGACCAAUACUGCACAAAUAUAUGCAUCAUUUCUAUUUCAUCGUCUAUCAAUUAUAAUCGAGCGUAUUACCAAUUACACACAAAUCAUUCAUAUAUUUUCCAAUUUUUCCUCCACCUCCUCUCCAUUCCUCAUCCUUAAUGUGUAUAACACAUUUAAUCAACAUUAUCCAUACUAUCACUAUUUUCCUUUAUGUAAAUUCAAGCAGUCUGUCUAAGUUAGAGUCACUAAUUUAUUUAUAUCUCGAGCUACAGAGCUCCAAAUUAAGAUAUGUUAAUUUUCCCUAAAACUAGACUCAUAUAUCUUCUUACCAUAAAAUUUUCAGAAUUUUUGGUUCAGCCAAUAAGUACAGUUGAUUCUCUAAAUUUUCCCUGUUUCACUAUUAGACAGUUCCGACCCCUCUUCACUAAAAAUUAAUUAUCUCUUUGUAUAGAAUUUGGAUGAUGUCCCCGUUUGUUUCUAUUGAAAAUAUACUCAUUAAGGAUUUUAAAUAUAUAAAUUAUAACCUAUAAUUAUUUUUAUAAAAUUUUUAUUUAUUUUUCCAAGUCAAAAUAGGGGAACCCAAAUUCAUUCUGACCUUGUCUCACAAAAUUCAUUAUAUCUCAUUAUUUACAAUUCCAUUACUUACACCGUUUCCUCUAUGAGAAACUAGACUCAAUAAGUUUUAAUUCCAUAUUGUUUUUCAUCCUCUAAUUCAAUUUUCACGAUUUAUGGUGAUUUUUUCAAAGUUAACCUACUGCUGCUGUCCAAAACUGUUUUAGUAUAAAAUGUUGAUAACUAAAUUUAUAACAUCUUUCUUUCCUUUCUCUUCAAUAUUUUCCAUCACUUUCUCUUAUUUCCCUUUACUAACAUAACAAGAAUAUAGAACCUUAUAUGAUGAAACUCUACAUUAACAUUAAUUUCCUACUUUUUCAAUAAUAUCAAACUCAAAAGUAUAUUGGAAUCUUGAUGUUCUUACCUUGUGCUAUUGAUUUCCAUCUUUAACUUAAUUUUCUCUCUCCUCCAACUUCUAUUUCUUGAAUCUAACUUGAUAUUCUAGCUCCCCAUAGUCUCCUUAACAUUUUUCUCUCUUGGUAGCUGUGGAAAUUCUUUUGAUUUCUAGGUGAAAAUGGUAAAUUUUGGUAGAAGGACCAAAUUGUAAAGAAAGUAAAACUUUCUUUCUUCUCUUCUCUUCUAACGUGAAAUGCAUAGGAAAGGAAGAUGAUUCUUCAUCUUUUCUUCCCUAUAUAUAUAUACUAAAUAAAAUAAUGAUAAAAUGUCAUUUAAAAAUCAAAUUAAAAUACUAAUAAACUAAUAUUUAUUUAAUCUAAAAUAUCUCCAACAUCAUCAUUAUUUUCUAGAUUUCUCUUUUUUCUAAUUGACCAUUUUUCCCUUUAGAUCUUUUAAAAUUCCAUCCUUGAGUCAUCACUUAAUUUGGUAAAAUUAUGAUUUAGUCCUUCAUAAUUCUUCAUCUAUUCAAUUUGGUCCCAAUUCAUCCAUUUUCCUUAGUUUCUAGAUUAUUCCACCCUUAAAAUAUUUGCACUAUUGGUCCUCCAACUUUUUGAUAUUUACACUUUAACCCCUCAAAUUUUGAGUAUUUACUCUUGGAUAACAAAACUUUUCUCACUUUUGCAAUUUAAUCAUUUCUUUAAUUAAUAUGUCAUAAUAUACUUCCCAAUGUUGUCAUAACUCAAAAUUCUCCUUUUUUCCACUUUAUUUCCUUACUAUAUCAAAGAUAAUAUCUUACUGUAAAAAUUUUCGGGGUAUUACAUAUCAAUUUAGACUUUUUAAAUAAAUUGAGUGUUCAAACGUCGAAAUUUUCGAACGAAAUUUUCACGAAAUCAUUCCAUGAAAUUGUAAACCAUAAAAAUAAAAUUUUUCUCGUCGGAUUUGUAAUCCCGAAACCAUUGUUCCGACUAGACCCAAAAAUCGGGCUGUUACACUAAAUUUGGUCUAACCAACUACAGCCAUUACAUCUAAUUGACUGUAUUGGGUUUUCCAAAAAAAAAUUAAAAUUAAAUUCUAGUUAUAUUAUUUUACUCGAAAAUGUUGUGGUGUGUUUGACAAAUUAUCAAAAAAUUUUAUUUUAUUAAAAAAUUUUAAUAUAUAAAUUUUUAAAUGUGUUUGAUUAUCAUAAUAGAUUUUUAUUUAAUUCAAAAUUUUCAAAAAAAAAUUAUCACUUGAUGAAAAAAUUAAAUUAAAUUUAUGUUUUAAAAACCAUAUACUGUAACAGCCCGAUUUUGGGGCUAGAUGGAACAGUGGUUUCGGGACCACAAAUUCGACAAGGAAAAAUUUAUUUUAAAAUUAUGACAUGGGUUGCAUUAUGAUAAGAAGGUUGUAUGAAAAUACUGAUAUGGUAAAAUAAGAAAAUAUAGUGAUAAAACGGGUAAUUGAGUUAUGUCAACAUUGGAAAGUAUAUUUAUGACAUAUUAAUCCAAGAAAGGAUUAAAUUGCAAAAGUGAGAAAAGUUUUGUUGCCCAAGAGUAAAUACUCAAAAUUUGAGGGGUUAAAGUGUAAAUAUGAAAAGUUGAAGGACCAAUAGUGUAAAUAUUUUAAGGGUGGAAUAAUCUAGAAACUAAGAAAAAUGGAUGGAUUAGGACCAAAUUGAAAAAGGUGAAGAAGUUUGAGGGACUAAAUCACAAUUUUACCAAAUUAAGUGAUGACUCAAGGAUGGAAUUUUAAAAGAUCAUAAAGGGCAAAAAUGAUCAAUUAGAAGAGAGAAAUCUAGAAGAUAAUGAUGAUGUUGGAGAUAUUUUAGAUUAAUAAAUAAAUAUUAGUUUAUUAAUAUUUUAAUUUGAUUUUUUAAUGAUAUUAUUUUAUUAUUAAUUUAUUUAGUAUAUAUAUAUGUGGAAAGAAGGAUGAAAAGUAUCCAUCCAUUCCCACCAUUUUUGCAUGCAUUAACGUGAGAAGAAGAGGGGAAGAAAGAAAGCUUUUGCUUUCUUUACAAUUUGGUCCUUUCACCAAAAAUCCACCAUUUUCACUUAGAAAUCAAAAGAAUUUCCAUAUCCAUCAAGAGAGAAAGAUAACAAGGAGACUAUGGAGAGCUAUAAUAUCAAGUUAGAUUCAAGAAAUAGAAGCUGGAGGAGGGAGAAAAUCAAGUUAAAGAUUGAAAUCAAUGGCAUAAGGUAAGAACAUCAAGAUUUUUAUAUACUUUUGAGUUUGAUAUUAUUGAAAAAGUAGGAAAUUAAUGUUAAGGUAAAGUUUCAUUAUAUAAGGUUCUAUAUUCUUGUGAUGUUAGUAAAGGGAAAUAAGAGAAAGUGAUGGGAAAUACUGAAGAGAAAGGAAAGGAAAGUGUUAUAAAUUUAGUAAUCACCAUUUUGCACUAAAACAGUUUUGGACAGCAGCAGUAGGUUAAAUUUAAAAAAUCACCAUAAAUCGUGGAAAUCGAAUUAGAGGAUGAGAAAAAUAUGGAAUUAAAUAUUAUUGAGUCUAGUUUCUCAUAGAAGAAAUGGUGUAAGUAAUGGAAUUGUAAAUAAUGAGAUAUAAUGAAUUUUGUGAGACUAGGUCAGAAUGAAUUUGGGUUCCCCUAUACUGACUUUGGAAAAUCAUCAAAAAUUGGAGAAAAAUAAUCAGAGGCUUAAAUUUAUAUUUUGAAAUCCUUGAUGAGUAUAUUUUCAAUAGAAACAAACAAUAACAUCAUUUGAAUUCUGUAUGAGGGAAUAAUAAAAUUUUAGUGAAGAAGGGUCGAAACUGUCAGACAGCAGAACAGGGAUGACUUUAAAGAAUAAACUGUACUUAUUGGAUAAACUAAAAAUUCUUAAAAUUUUAUGGUAAGAAUAUAUGUGAGUCUAGUUUUAUAGAAAAUUAACGGAUCUCAAUUUUGAGUUCUGUAGCUCAAGAUAUAAAUAAUUUAGUGACUAUGACUCAAGUGGACAGCUUUGAAUGAAUAUAAAUAAAUGUGAAAUUAUAGAUAAUGUUACAUAUAAGCAUGUUAUAUAUAUUAAGGAUGUGGAAUGGAGAGGAGGAGGAGGAAAAUAUAUGAUUAUUCAACUAGUAUGAGUUUUUAUUAAAAAUGACCAAUUUAUAUGUUUCAGGGACUAAAUUGAACAAAAGUGAAAAUUUAAGGGUAAAUUUGUAAAAAUGUCAAAAAGUGACCAAAUUGUAUAAAAUGAAUUGUUUUAUUAUUUAAAGUAUUAAAUUGAAUAAAAUUUUAAUUUAGAUCAAGAUUGGGUGGAAAUUCGAGAAAAAUAGAAAAUUUCUAAAAUGUUCUUAAAUUUUGGUAUUUCUGUAAUUUAGCCUGGUAAGUUCGUAUGAACUAUAUUCUGUAUAAUUUUAAUUAAAGUGAAUGUUAUUUGAUGAUGAAUAUUAUAUAGAUAUGUGUUUUAUUAUUGAAAUUGAAUUAUUAUUGGUAAUAUGUACAAUUAUUAGAUGCAGUGAGAUGAUUAUCGGAAGCUCGAUUGUGGUUGGUAGGAAAUGUUGCAUUAUUUAUAUUGUGAAGAAUUAUAAAAACAUGUUAAUAAUUUGAAAUUUUUAAUAAUUAAUGGAAUUUUAUAACUCGGUUCAAUACGUUUACAAGUGUAUGUGUUCUGGUAAUGCCUUAUACCCUAUUCCGGUGUCGAAUAUGGGUAAGGGGUGUUACAUAUACAAAAUAAAUCAUCCUUUUUUCAAUUUUAGUUAAAAUGAAACAUUUAAAUUUUUAUUUUUAUUUUUAUUCAAAACAAUACAAAACAAUAUAAAAUAUUUUAUUAAUAAAAAUAAAAUUGUGAAAUAAGUCAUCUUCAACAAUCAUGAAUUAUUAUUAUCAAACUAACAUAUAUUAUGUACUUGAUUUUUACUAACAACAAAUUAGGUGAAACUAAACUUAAAAUAUAUAAUUUAAUUCAACAUAAAUUUAUUAUUAAAACUGAUGAUAUUUAAAAUUAAAUCAUCUUACUUUUCUUAUUUAAAAAUCACAGUUCAAUACAUUAUUAAUAUUUUCAUCAAAUUUUGUCAAAUUGAUAAGUUAAUUAAGUUGCCCUUAUGCACAGGAGUGAAGCUAAAUGUUUUUUUUUUUUUACAGACCGGAAUUAAAUUGUAUAUUUUUAUGAUAGUAAAAAUAUAAUUUCAUCAUUUUAAUAACCUAUAUCUUUAUAAUUUUUAAAAAAUUUAAUUUAAUUUUUAUCAUUUUUUAGAGGGGAUCCAAAGCCCUUGCAACCCCCCUUACUUCGCCACUACUUAUGCAAUAAAAUAUAUCAUGUCAUACAAAGGGUAGUCUAAUCAACCAAGAUUGCAAAUUUAAUUAAAAAUACUAAUAGUGCCAACGAUUGAAUUAAAUUUUUUAAAUUAAAAAAAUUAAAAUACAAAAUUACACUUCAAAGAGUUAAUGUAUAUUUUGGCCUUUAAACUUGAUAAUUUUUAUCUAUAUGGUAUCUAUACUUUUUUUAGACCUAACUAGUACUUGAAUUUCAAAAUCGUUAAUCAAAUUGAUACUUUGUUUAGGUACAUGUUUGACACUGUUAACUUUUAUACUUACAAACAGUAAAUUAGUCUGUCUUAAAAAUAUUUUUGAAGAAAUUAAAAAAUUAUAAAUUUUUGAAUUAUUAUUUUUUUUAUUUCACAUGCUCAAUGAACUUUUCAAAUAAAGCUGAAUGUACAUUUUGUCCAAUUUUUUAUAGUAAUUUUAUAUAUGUUUUAAAUUGUUAAAAAAUGAUAUUAUUAGAAAAUUUGAGAUUUUUAUAUUAUGUCAGGUAUUUUAGAAUUUUUUUUUCAAAUUUUUGGAUUUUCUAAUAUUUUUAGUUUUUUCUUUUAUUGAAUUUUUAUAUUUUGUAUUAUUUUUUUACUUUUAUAUUGUUAUAUUUUUAUAUUCUUAUAUAUCUUUAAAGAUAUUUUAGAUUUUUAUUUUUAUGUUUCCCAGUAAUGCUUACCACACCCCUAAUUUAUGGCUGCUACAUAACAUUAUACUAUUAAUUAUCAGUGUUAAAUUAUUUAAAAAAUCGAUGGAGUUGAUUAGGUACUAAUAAAAAGUACUAAUUUUAUUCAGUGAUUUAUCAACUAAUUAUAAGACUAAAAUAUUAAAUGAAAUUAUUUGGUGCAUUGUCAGUGAAAUUUUCAAAUUCCACAAAUAAAGUUAAGCGUUUGAGAAAUAUCUUAUAAUAAUAUAUUAAAAAACCAAAUAUUUACUAAUUUUUUAAAAUUACAUGUGGAAUAAAAAAUUACACUACAGAUAUAUCAAAUAUUAACUUAAUUAAAAAAUCUAAAUAUUGACCGCAUACAUUGAGUAAAAAGAAAUUUAUGGGGGUACUCCUUUUUUAAUUUAUUGAACUCAUCACAAUAUCUAAAUUCCAAAUAAUAAUAACUGAUCACAAAAUGAGACAAAAAUAGGAGUCGGAUCUUUGUGUUACAUUUAUAAAAGCGAGUGUGUCAAAAGCAACCAUAGAUCAUGAAAAAUUGGUUUUGACCAGUUUUAAUUAAUUUCGUUACUGUUGAUUUCUGAUGCAAUGUGAACAUUGGAAAGUGAAUUUAACAAAAUUAUACCAGCAAGAAGAGUCACCAUCGCAGCCACAGCGGGUAUCGACGUCGGAGGUCAGCCAGUGAGGGUGCCAUCCCCAUCCCCACAAUCCCAAUUGUCGUCUCAGCUAGAGACUUUACGUGCCGUCCAGAAUCAUUUGCAGUGGCAAAAUGCGGUGAUAGAAUUUUGCUUUUCAUAUGCACUGGGGGUGUCCCUCCAAUAUGCGACACCCCUUCAGUCCAGCCAUGAGCUCCCAUUUCCCAUGGUAUUGCUUUCGUUCCUUGUCCUACUUACCUUCAUUUUGAUAUUGGGGGUUUUCAUUAUCAACCCAUAUUGCACCACAACUUCAAAAGCAUUGCAGAAAAUUGCUCUCAUCCUCACAGCAGCUGCAUUCACCCACACAGUUUCGAUUCCCUUGUCGUUAGAGCUCAAGUGCGCCAUCUGGGCUGUGUUUUUGUCCUCUCCUUUCUCAUUGUUAUCAUCUUCAAGUACUUGAAUACGGAGACCGCCGCCUGAUUAGUAUGCUAUAAUAUUUGAAUAUCCAGAGGCAUAAGUUGCAUUUCAUCCAAAAAUCAUCGCAGUUUAGAAUAGCUAAAAUUAUCUCCAAUUUGAGCUAAAUCGUAGUUCCUCCGAUAGACCAGUUUUCCUACUUGAAAUCAAAUGCUCCUAAACCAGCUUUUUCCAUUAUUUGUAAGCAUGCAAUGUAACAGUUCCAUUGACAUACAUUCAGACAUACACAAUCUAGUUAUAGAGUCGAAUUUUGAGAAUUUUAAAUUUUGGGGUAUCGACUUUUCUCUUCAUAAUGAUAUCCAUAUUGUUACAGGAGAAUAGAUGUCACCAUCCGAAAAAGUACCACAAAAUCCUCUAUAUUAUAUCUUUGAUUGCAUUUUAAUCCUUAUAAUGAAAAAAUAGACAAACUUGUACUUAAAUGAUGGAGCAAAAUAGGCCCUCCGUUAAAAUUUAUUGAUUAUAUAUAAGUUAUAAUAACAAAUUUAGCUUUUAACCUUUAAACAUUUAUUCAAUUUGACCCUAAAUCUUUUGUUGAAAGUAAAUUAGAAAAUUUUUAAACUAAUAAGGUUAAAGGGUCAAAAAUGCAGAAACAAAUUAAAAAAAUUCAACUAAUCCCUUUUAAAUUUUAAAAAUUAUUAAAAAUCAUAAAAAUUAUAAACAAAAUUUAUAAAAAAAAGUUAUAAAAAUUUUAUAAAAUUAUUAUUUUUCAACUCAAUUAUAAAAUUAUUCAAAAUUUUAUUAUUUUUAUAAAAUAACAAAUAUUAUUUUGACAUGUUUUUAUUUUAUAUUUUUAUACAAAAUCUAAAAAAAUACAUAUGUAUGAAUAUAUUUAAGUAUAAAACAUCAUACUCUGUAAUAUCUUAUAUUUACUAUUUCAGCCAAAUUCUCAUUUAAUUUUUUAUAUUAUUUUUUAUAAAUUUAUUAUAUAAAUUAUUUAUUUUAAUAAUCUAAACAAUAAAUAAAAAUUAAUAAUAAAACACCUAUAAUGAAAUAAAUUUUAAUAAAAACUCAAAAAAUUGAUGAAGGUCUACUCUCAAUUUGAAACUUACAUUUUUUAAUCCAAUCCCUUGGAUGUCCUUUUUAGAUGAGCGUUUACUUUCAGUACGGUGCGUUUAGUUUUUUUUUUGUCUCACACUACAAUAUUGCUACAGUAUUUAAUCUCACCAUCAUCGUUGUUUUUACACUAGCCGUAGGUAAACAACCGCUAAUCGAGUGGGGGCUUGUUUUUACUUGGCUUAAUACAUAAUUUAGUACUUGAGGUUAACCUUUUUUUUCUAAUGUGGUACCUAUAUGUUUUUUUGUCUAAUAUGAUACUUGUAUUUGACACAAAAUAUACAUUUUGGUACUUGAAAACUAAGAUGUUAACUUUUUAGUGUUUAAUUCAGGUUUUAUAGUUAAUUUGAUGAAAAUUCAUAAUUAUCUAAUAAUAUUAUAAAUUAACUUACAUUAAAUCAACCCUUAAAACUCAAAUUAAAUCGUAUCUAUCGGACUAUAUUUGACAAAUUAAGUGCAAAUUAAACAAAUUCACUAUUAACACUAAAUUUAUUCUAUUAACAAAAUCAUGGAAAAUUCAAACAUAAUAAUAUUGGCAAUUUACUUUUAUCAAGUCAAUCCUAAAACUUAGAUUAAACACUUAAAAGUUAACAUCGCUAUCUUUAAAUACCCAAAUAUAUAGCUUUUGUCAAAUAUAAGUACCAUAUUGAACCAAAAUAUAACACACGUACCAGAUUAAAAAAAUAUUAAAUUUAAGUACAAAAUGAUAUAUUCAGCCUUUUUAAUUUUGUUGACUUCCACAACCAAUAGACAACAUCGAUCACGGUUGGCCAGUUGCAUUGUCGGAAUGUGAGUUUUUAACUCAUGAAAUCAUCCCCUAAAAACACAACUUAUUGGGCAUAAUCAUAUUUUUAGGGUAAAUUAUAUCACUAGUCACUAAAUUAUGGGUAAGAUUUUGUUUUGGUCCCUUAACUAAAAAAAAGUUACAAUUUGAUCUCUAAGCUAUUCGAAAGUUUUCAUUUAAGUCACCUGACUAUUAAAAUCAAUGUUAUAUGGCUUUUUCAAUCCGCAUUGCCUACGUUAAUCAAAAGUUCUCUUUGAAAUUUUUUUUAUGUAGAGAGUGAUAGCUUUGAUUGUUCAUUGUUCAAGAAUUCUUGUUUAGGUAGUUAAUACCAUCCAUACAUAGAAUUUUGAUCUAAGAUUUCAAUUCUUUCAUGUUUCAGUAGUGGCAUAUUGUUCCAUGGAGCUAAGGUCCAAAAUAUUGAAGAAACAUGUGUUUCCACAACUCUACCACCAAAUUAUUUUUCGUUCCACUUAAUCCCUUUUCUUCUACAAAUUUUUUUUAUGAAAUAACUUUAGACGUCUCAAAUCUACGAACCAAAAUUCAAAUAGCUUUUCUCUCCGAUCUUCGACACCGACCUUCAAAUCAACUUAAAUCUAAGGUAUGUUUUUCUACUCAUCGAUGGGUACUGAUCCACUGUACCAAUCGUCAAAUCAUUGCUUGGAACUCAUUUGCCGAACUUUAAAAAAGAAAAGAAAAAAACUUGAUAGCCCAAUGACAUAAAUAAACACUUUUGAAUAGUUCAAUGAGUUAAAUAAAACCUUUCAAAUAAUCCACUGACCAAAUUGUAACUUUUUUAAAUUAAGUGACAAAAAAAAAACCUUACCUAUAGUUUAUUGACUAAUGGUAUAGUUUACCCUUUUUUAAAUAGGGUAAAAAAUAUUUUUGAAAAGUGUCAUAAAAACAUGAUUUAAAAUUUUAAUUAUUUAGCAUUACAGUUAAAAUAUAAAAAGAAAUUAAAAUAUUUAUUUUAAAUAUGAUUUUAUAAAGCAAAAAAUAAAUUAAUUUAAAUUAUAUUCAAAUUUAUUAAUAAUAUGAUAUAAGAUAAACUACAAGUUUAAUUACUCUUAAAUUAUGUUUUGAUCGCUAAACUUUAAAAAUAUAUAUAAUUAUCAACUUGGUCAUUGACAUAUUUCUUUCUUUUUUUCUUGGAGGUCUGUAUAAAAAUUUAGAUUGUUUCAUUGUUGCCCUUUAUUUUUGGAUAAAAAAAUAUUUGAUUCUUCAACUUGAAUUUUUUUUUGGUUAAUAAUAAUCAUUCAACUUGAAUUUCGUGAAAUAAGUUAUUUUUUAACACUAUUAUUAAUAAUCUCACAAAUUCAAUCAAUAAUUUAAAAAAAUUAUAUUUUUAUUGCCCAAAAUAUGUUAAGAUUAAUUCAAAAUUUAAAUUCAAUCUCAUAAUAAAAUUAUUUUAUAUACUGUUAGUGAAGUUUUCUAGACUUUACAAACUGGUUAAAGGUUUGACAAGUGUAUUAUAAGAUGUAGUAAAACAAUUAAUUAUAUGAAUAAAUUCACCACUUUUCACACUCUCAAACCGUGAGAAAAACUCUAUUGACAGUGUAUCAAAUAAUUACCCUUUAAAAUAUAUUUGAAAACAAAGUGAAGUAUUAUUACAACCAAAGAUAAGAAAAGGCUUUUAAGUGUUUACUGCACAUUUAUUGGGCCUAAACCCAGUUCAGAAAAAGAGCCCAACACAAAUCUGAGCAUCGGUUAAACGGUUUUGAAAAGUGGAUCAACUAUAUUUGAUAUUUUAUCUUUGGCAUAAUUUCAAAUUUAGCACUCAAAGGUUUUUUUUUUUAUCAAUUUGAUUAUUAUUCUCUUUUAAACUAAAAUGUUAAUUUUUUAACCAUGUUGGUAUGGCUACCCAUGUGAUAAUUCAUGUGUAUUUCAUGUUGACAUGACCCCAUCUAUCUUAUAUGUCACACAUCAACAAAUAAUGUAAAAGAAUGAAAAGUUCUUAAAGAUUCAAAAAAAUUAACAUGAAAUAUAUGUGAAUUGACAUACGGAUUCUCAUGUUUAAAACUUUAACAUUUUAGUUAGUAUUUUCAUUAAAAAAACAAUAAUUUGACUCUUGUUAAAAAGUUGAUGGUCAAAUUCGACUCGUUUUUAAAAGUUGAAUGUGAAAUUUAACUCAAAAAAUAAUAAAACUAAAUUGAUAUUAUGCCCUUUUUUCUUUCUAGGAUCAUUUGAAAUCGGAUCGAAUAAAAUAAUUCAAUCAAGAUCCGAGGUGGUCCAAACACUGUAAUAUAAUCGGAAAUAUGAAUUUUGGGUUUCAACAAAUUAUGCUUCACUGAUCAGCACCAUUUUUUUUUUUAUAAAUACCUUUUAAUAUUUAUGUUUUUUUAAUAACUUUAUUUUUUUGUUAUUUUUAUUUAUAAAUUUUAAUUUUAAUUUUAUAUUUUUUUUGAAAAAAAUUAGAAUCUAAAAUAAAUUAAUAAAAUGCGUAAAUAUUAAAAGACUAAAUUUAUUAUUAUGUCCAAUAGAAAAAGCUAUGUAAGCGUUCCGUUAAUUAUUUAAUGGCAACCAUAAAAAUCAAAUAUUUUUAUAGUUAUAUGAUCAAAAUAAAAAUACUUUUAUAAUUGAGUACUAUCCGAAAGAAAAUCGGAAAGAUUGAAAAUUAAAAGGUAAAAAAGAAAAAAAAUCUUUUCUUUGGCACAUUUGGUAAGAAACAUGAAAAAAUUAAAGCUGAAAAAUUAGAGAAAUGAAAAUAAAAAUAUUAAAAACUACUUCUUCUUCUUUUUACGAUUUGAUUUACGCUUUCUCAUUUUCUCUCUUUUAUUAUUAGAGAUCAGAACGAUUAAAAAAUGGAAAUUUUUGCUAUUUUCUCCUGUCACUUAUUGAACACAUUUAAAAUUCAUUUUCUUUCCUAUUUUUCACUCCACUCGCUAUGUAUAAACAAUUUUAUCUCCAUGCAUUAAAUAUAAUUUAUUGAGUAAACUAUCUAGAUAGCCUUCCAAGUUUUAAGGCCUUUUUGUUUUGGUCGCCCAAUUAUUUAGUUAUUUUAGUCACUCUUAUUAGAUCAAUUACACUCCAUCUCUUGGUAAUCAGAUAUAAUGUUGGUACAAUAACAAAUUACGCACUCAACAUUUACUCAUUUUUAUUAAUUUAAUCUUGAUUUUAUAAAAAAUUAUAAAUUUACCUUUCAAUAUUUAUAUACUUUUAUUAAAUUGAUCUUGACUAUAAACAUUAGAAUAGUUUAUCAAUAAAAAAUUCUAACUUUUUUAAAAUUAAAUAUAAAAUUUUCAAAUUUCAAAUUAAUUGGUUUUAUUUAAUCGAGUUAUUUUAAUUUUAAAAUUAACUUAAUUAAGUCAUUUGAAUUGAAGUGAAAGUUUGAUUUUUACAAUUCUAAUAUCUGAAAAUUCUAAUAACAAAAUUAUGUCGUUUUUUGGUUUAAGCAUUUUUUUUAAAUCUAUAAUACCCAUUUAAGUUCCCAUCAAUUUUGAAAAUAAGUGAAUUCUAUUUGUUUUUUAAUUUUUAAUUUUUAAACUCAACCAAUCAAAGUUGUAAAAUAAUAUAGUAUUAAAAAUUUAAAAUCUUAAAAAUAAUAAAAUAAUAAAAUUAUAAAAUUAUAAAAAUUCAAAAAUAAUGAAUUUAAAAUAAUAUUUUUAUUUAAAAUAAUAAAUAAUAAAUAAUAAAUUCUCUAAAGGUUUUGAAAAAAUUACAAAAUAAUCUUUAAAUUCCAAAUACUCAUUAAAAUUUCUAAAAAAAUAGAAUGAUAAAAUAUUGAAAAAGUUUUAAAAAUCUAAAAUUAUUUUCUCUCAUUUUGCUUUUAAAAAAGUUUUCAAAUAAAUGAUGAACAAGUUUUAAUUAGGCUUGCUUAAUUUUUUUUAAUUUAACUUGAAUAAUUUUAUGUUGAUUGCGUAUUAGUUCAAUAGGCAUUAUUGCUAUUGCACAAUUAAAAUAAUAUGUGUUCAAACACGUUGAACUGUGUUUUUCCUUCAAUUUAGAUGUGUGGAGGGAUUAUGGGUAAAAGUAAGCUCCUUUCAUUAAAAAAAACUUGAACAAAAUUAUUUUAUUCAACUAGACUCAAGUUCCAUUUCAUUAAGCUAUAUUUUCAAAAUAUUCACAUUGAUUUUUAUUGAUAAAAUAAGGUUGAUCAACUCUAUUAACUCAAAAAAUAUUUCAAGUGAUUCGAUAUCCCUCACACUCAAUGUAAUGCCUUUCACUCUGCUCCGUCAACACUUUAUCAUAUUGCCAAAAGUAGAAUUUUUGGUUUCUUCGCAAGCUAUGAAUUCUCAUAAAUGGCAUAGUACAAAGAGAAAUAAAUUGUGUAUUUGAUGUUCUAUCCACAAACACGAUGAAAAAGAUAAUCGGACCACCUCCCUUAAGUGCUAGUGCUAGCAUACAAGAAGGAGCAAAGCAGCUCAAAUGAAUGUGAGCGGAGCGAAGAAAGUAAAUUGCGAGAGAAGCGAAAUACACCGAAAAGCAAUUAGCUUCUUUGGUUUUGAUUAUGAGGUGACAAUCACAACUUACAUGCAACAAUAUUUAUAACCUUGAUUUAAUAGCUUAAUUUCAUAUUUUUAAGAAUUAGAGAAUAAAUACUAUAUACCAUAUUAAUGAAUUUGUUUAAUGACAUGUUUAACAUUGCAGAGGGAGGCAAACUUUUUUAGGAGAAUCUUUGAAGUGUCGUCUGUCAAGAGCUAACAAACUCUUCAACGGGUCAGUAUUGUCUCCAAUUAAAAUUUUAUCUCCUGACUCUACAAAAAGCUUAAAGUUACCUGAAGAAACGAUGAGUUCACAAAGCGAGAAUGACUCGUCGAAAAAGAUCAUAUGUGGUACAUAACAAUCUACUAAAGAAAUGUGGAUAUUCACUUGGUAGUGUUUAACCCAACAAUGCAAAAACUUCCUCAAGGCCUUAGACAAGGUCAUAUAACAUUCCAUUUAACCAACUUUUGGGACAAUCUCAUCAACAUUUCACCUCACCAAAUACUACAUGACUAAGGACACAUAACCCUUACACAUCCCACACUUGUCCCAUACGACUUUAUGAGCCAUAUAAGGCUCUCUUUAUCACCCAAGUAGGGGGAUAGACUCGUUAAGACAAAAAGAAAAGGGCUCCUCUCUUUCUUUGAAAAAACCAUUUAUAGCUCUCAUACUUAGAGAACACCUUCAACCUUUAAUCACUUACGUAACUCUUAAUUUUCCGACGAACUAUCAUCAACCGCUAAAUUCAUAUUUUCUCAUCAAUAGAUAUAUAUCUACUCAUAUUUAAAAUAUUUAUUAUAGCAUAGAGGCACAAAUAAAUAUGAAAUACAAUAUAUAAGGAUUGUGAGGUCUAAAGAACAAAUAACUAAAUUCUAAUUGCCAGCGCAAACACUGCUUAAUGCUAAUUGUUGCACCAAUAAUCAUUAAUUAUUUUUGUAAACUCUUUUUUUAAAGAAGGUUCCAGCUAAUUAUUAACUCCUCGCAGCGAUCUUUUGGUCGUCCCUUGUUGUCGGUUCCACUUAAACUGCAUUACAUUCUUUCUUAUAUUACUAAUAUUAUUAUUAGCGGCAUCUAUUCUACACGCGCUAGAUGAACGCGUGAGGAUUUUUGUUACCUCGUCGGUGACAAAUGAUCUUCGUGUAAAUCAAUUUAACAUAUGGGAAAUUUUGGAUUAUUAUCUUCUAUAUUAAUGUAAAAUAUUCAAGUUUAAAAAAAAAUUAAACUGAUAAGAAAUAAUUUUUGUUUUUUAUUAUAAUAUUAAAUGACAUUUAAAAUAAUUAUAAUAAACUAAAAAGACUUGGAAAAGAAAUAUAUUACAAUAGUUAUAUUCAAAAAUUGUGAUAAUUAUAAUAUAAUUUAGAGAAUAGAUUACGAUAAUUAUUCUUGAAAAAAAAUGCUUUUUUUAAUUUUUUUAUUUUCACACUUUUUUUAAAAUAAAUAUUGAAGUUUAAUUGAUUAUCUUAAAAUGUGGUUGUAAUUUAAUACGUUUUCACUUAAUUUUUUUAUUUAUGUAUUCAUUAAUUAUAAAUAAAAAUUUAUAAUAUUAAGAAGACACUAUAAAAAAUAUAUAUUACAAAUUAAUUUAAAAAAUAUAAUUGUGUAAGUAUUCAUUUAAACAUCGAAUAAGUUUAGUAGAAAACAUUCGAAAAUGACUAUUGUACACUGUAUAAUUAAUAGAAAACGACGAUGUUUAUUUUAAUGAACUAAUAUUUUAUGGAAAAAUAAUUUUAAAUUUAUAAAUUAACGACAUAUUUGUAAUAAUAAUUAAAUUUUGAAUAAAUUUAUUAGAAAAAAAUUUUGAAAUAAUAAACAAUUAUUAGAAAGUAUUUAAAAUAAUUUCUACUAAUAAAUUUAAAUUAAAAUAAAUUAAGAAAAUAAUAUCAUAAAAUUAAUUUACUAUUAACAAAAUAAAUCAAGCGGUGAAUGUUUAACAAACAUAAAACAAUUAAUUUCAAAUAUAUUGUUAAAAUUUUCAAUUAAACAAACUUAAUUAAUUUUAAAAAUGGCAUAAUGAUUUAUUUGGCCCUCUAACUUUACAAAAAAGCUAUUUUAGCCCUCCAUUUAAUUUUUUUUACCUUUUUUAACCCUUAAACUUGUAUUUUUUUGUCAAAACACCCCAAAAUUGAUGAAAAAGUUAACAUUUUUUAACUUUACUGACGUGGCAUAAACGUGGAUUGCCAGAUAGAUGACAUGUCAUCAUUUAAUUAUUUUUUAAAAUUUAAAAAAUAUAUUUUUAAAAAAUAUUUUUAAAUUUUUAAAAAAAAUAAUAAUUAAAUGCUGACAUGUCAUCCACGGGCUAAUAUCUUUUUAGUUUUUAAUGAGAGUUAAAAAUAUAAUUUUACCAUUGUAUUGACUUGUAUAUUUGUAGUUUUUAGAAUGACUAAACCAAUAAUUAUCAAUUUUAGGGGACAAACAAUAAUUUUACUAUAUAUUAGCAUAUAAUUUUAGAGAUUUUGGGAGGUCUAAAACAUAAUUUCUCAAUUCAAGGGGCCAAGGCCCCUACUUGCACCUUUAUGCCUUCACCCUCGAUUUUAGGUAAGGUGAGACUUAAACUCGAACACUCAAAAUUGGAGCCUCAACCUUUACCAAUUGUACUAGGACUUCGUUGCCAUAAGAAAAGGAUAAAAUAUGUCGUGAUUCCAUGUACUCUUCAAAAUUUUAGAAUUUAGUCAUUAUACUUUUAUUUUUAGGAAUUUAGUCUGUUUAUUCCAAUUUCAAAAUUCAAGUCCAUCUGUUAACCUUGUUAAAUUCAGGUUAAUUACAAUCAAUUUUUUUAAUUACAUGGCUACUAAGUGAGGAUUUUUUUUAUUUCAUAGUGUCACACCAACAAAUUUAACAAAAAAAAUUAAAAGUAUUAACAAUUAGACUUGAACUUUAAAAUAUAAAAAAAUAAAAGAUUAAAUUCUUAGAAAUAAAAUAAUAUAUACUAAAUUUUAAAAUUUUGAAAAAUACAAAAAUUUAUGACAUAUUUUAAUCAAAAUAAAACAUUACUAUUUUAAAUUAUCUGGAAAAAGCACGAUGGAAUGAGUUAUAAUUGAAAAAUUAAGUGUAACUGCAUCAUCGUUAAUCACAUGUGUUGGUUCCGACUUGAAAAAAAAAAAAAGAAGAGAAGUUUCUAUGACAGUUCUAAUUUUGGAACAAGUUGAUUAAAUCACGCAAGUGUCUUCAAUUAUUGAAUUAAAUAAACAUCACAAUAAAUAAGGAUUAGAGGAAGGAAUCAAAUAAAUGAUUUAUAAAUGCAACGGUUUGUAUGGUAAUUCGUCAAUUUUAUUAUGUUAAAACAAUGUAUAUUAAAUAAUCAGCUGGGUCAAUUAAAUUGAGAAUUAAAAACUUUACUCGUAAGAUAUAAUUAAAAAUAAUCAUUUUGAAAUUAUAUGUUAAUUUGGUGGUUAGAAUCUUUAUUUAAAUUCGAGUCGUAUUGUUAUUAGGGCUUUGCCCUCUCACCCAAAAAGAAAAUCAUUUGAACUAAUAUAAAAUAUUAAAUAUUUUUAUUAUUUUAAAAUUUAUAUGAAAAAUAAUAAUUUUGAAAAAAACCAUUUUUUUAUUUUUGAGGUUUUAUUAAAAAUUUUAAAAUUUCACUAUGUUCCGAUUAAUUUUAUCUUUUAAGCUUUUGUAUAUGUGAACUCUUGUUAGUUUUUAGGAGUACAGGUUAACAUAGGGUAUUUGUGUUUUUAAGAAGGAUUAAUUUUCAUAAAUUGGCCUAAUAAUUAGGGUGUUUACCACUCUAGGUAUGAUCUGGGUUUGAGACGUGUUAGUCACAUUAUUAUUAGGACUUUGUCAUUUUCUUGUAAUUCAUUAAAAUAAAAAUAACUUACAAAAAGGUUAAAAUAUGCUAUUAGUCCUUAUAUUUUUAUAAAAUUUAAGAUUUAAUUCUUAUACCUUGAAAGUUAAAAAUUUAACUAUACAACGUUUUCGAUUUAAAAAUUUUAAUCUAAAAAUUAUAAUAGUUUAUAUUAAAAUUUAUUAAUUUAACAUAUUUAUUUUUUAUCAAUCAUAUAACAUAUUACAUGAGAUAAACUUAAUCAAUAUAAUUUAAAUAAAAAAAUAGUUAUGAUUUAAAUAAUUCAAGUGAAUUUUUUAAAUAAAAUAAUUAUAAUUUUGAACUAAAUCUUUAAUUUUCUCAUAGUCACUAACAGCAUAUUUUGACGUUAAUCAGGUUGGAAAUGAAAAUGCGGUACAAAAUCUCAUAAGAAAAAGACAAAGGCGACCCUCCGAACUAACACGGUGAACACAGUACAAAUUCCUUCGGGAUUGGUGCGUAGUAGAAAAACGAAAGAAACAGCGCGUGGAAAAUGUUUUGUUGAGAAAAUUUGUAGUGAAUUUGAUUUUUCAAUUUUCUGCUCCAGAAGGUGUAUUAGCCCACGUGAGCAUCGAGAUAUACAGCUCAUUGUGAGUAAUUCCAGUCGCAUCACCAUCAUUCGUACAACGCCAUGGAAUACGGGUCCACCACGCAUAUUUUUAUUUUACAACUUGCACAACUCCAAACCAAUACGAACCUCCUCCCCCAGUCCAAUUUCAAUCCGAAAUUCAACGCCAUUGAUCAUGUACUGUAAAAAUUAAUAAUUCCUAUUUCUAUCAAUUUUUCUUUAUCAAUUACAAUAAUUUUUGGGCACGAGUUCCCACUCGAUUUGGUUUAAUUAAUUAAUCAAUAAAAAUAUUUAAUUUUAAAUCUAAAAUAUAUUUAAAAAUUAAUUUUUAAUGCCUUUUGUUAUGAUAUUCAUCAUUACCGACCCGCUAUCUAAUUACCCGAUUGGGUUUCAGCUCAUAGAUUACAUUGUUCACACCCUGAGUUUGUACGUGAGGUGUUCACGUCCUUCAAUGAGCUCACAUGAUGUGGGUUCACACUACUAUGCAGGCAAACUCACACAUAGAAAACAUGUUUUAAUCUUAGAGUAGGAUGUGUUGGCAUACAAGGAGACUUACCUACGACGUCAGAGCCAUGAACAAUAACAGUAUCAUAUACAUAGAGAAUUUAACCCUUUUGAAAGGGAUAUACACACAAUUUGGUGCGGUGAGCAUGGACAGACUUCUGAUCUUUAGAUAAUCAUAAAACCAAGAUGACUCACCCUAAUGAGAAUUUACCUAACAAUUUCCCAUCAGACCAGGCAGGAGGUUCUAGCAUUGAAAAUCAACCUAGUGAAAUGGACCUUUUUGUUGGUUGGUUUGUCGACCGACUAGAAAAUUUGAGCAACUCAGACCAAGUAGGAGCCUCCAAUUCUUUUUAUCUCAAUGCUCAUUCUAGUUAGGGACCGUCAUUUCCCUCUUAUCAGGGAGUAUCUCCACAACAAAUAUUUGUUUUAUAGGAGCAACUGAGGUUGAUGAAGAAACAGAUGACUCAACAAAAUGUUAGGUUUGAACAACAACAAGUGUUUCAACAGGAGCUGCUAAGACAAAACGAAAAGCUGAAGAGAAAGAUGCAAUUUGAUCACUCUAAUUUUUAAGACCAUGUCACACCUUUUAGGGAGAAUGAGAUGGAUGCUUUGCGUAGAGAUGCUCGAGCGUUGCACCUUGAUGUACAAGAUAUGGAUUGGUUGUUUUGUUCUAACAACCUUUUUAUCUCCAGAAAUAGUAGUUGUGAGCUUACCAUCUGAGUUUAAAGUGCUGAAAGAGAUGUUUAAAGGCAUGAUGGCUCUAUAGCCCAUCUCAUGCAGUAUAAUGAUUACAUGAAUGAUUGAUAUUUAUCUUUGUCUCAUGGCUCCAUUCAAAGCUUCUCACAGUUGGGACAGAUAUUUCUGGGAAGAUUUCGAGUCCAUAGGACAAUAACGAGCAUUCUUAUGGGUUUGAUAUUAGUGGAAUAAAGGGAUGGAGAAUCUUUGUAGGAUUAUGUAAAGCGAUUUCAUGCUACCACGUUGAAUGCAAAGAAGUUUGAGGACCAAUAGGCCAUUGAUGCCUUCAUCAUAUGAGUCUAAAAUGAGCACAUGCAAUAUUCCUUCAUUGAUAAUAGGCCACAAAGUUUGUCUGACUUGUAUGAGAGGGCGCAUAAGUUCGUUGAGGCAAAGGAAAUCAAAAAAAAAAACUCGUAACACUUUUCAGAUGGAUGACAUGCACUUUAGGGGUCAUCAUGGUGUACGCAGCCAGUAGGGUCUUCCUUCUCAGAGCCUGCAUAUAGAUGGGGGACAAUAGAGGAAUUAUUUGCAAAAUGAAUCGCCAAGGGUAUUUCAAAUACCUCAGGGCGAGCACACUAGAAGGUAUGUUCUUCAUGAAAAAUUUAAAGCUUAUAUUCCCUUAAAUGCUUCGUGUACCUACAUUCUUAAUCAGGUCAAGAGUUUGAGCAUUUUGCCAAACCUUCCAUAUAUGUGACGUAGUCAGUCAAGAACCAACUUAAGAGACAAAUUUAAUUUUCACAAUGACAUGGGGCACAAUACCAAUGAUUGUUUCUUUUUGAAAGAUGUUAUAAAGAGAGGCAGUUAGAAAUGGCGAGUUAAAAGGUUUUGUGGCUCAAGAUGCCUCGCCAUUAGGUCAGAGUUCAUAGGGCGCUGAUAAAGGUAAACAAAAGGUCAAAAGCACAAUAAAUAUGAUAAUUAGUACAAAUAAAGAGUAGGUGACUUCUAACACGAAGAGAAAGGCUCAUCUUAGACGUGUGAUGUCAAUCAGUUUAUCGAAGAGGCUACUGCGUCAAUAAGAGAAGUGGAAAGUAAAAUUUAAUGAAGAGCAUGAGGAUUCAGUAUGUAAUGAGGAAGAAAAUAACCCUAUGGUCGUAUUAGCAACUAUAACAAGAUUUUGAGGUUAAAAGAAUUUUUGUUGAUAGUGGAAGUGUUGUGGAGGUGUUAACUUAGGACAAAUAUAAGAAGAUGAGGCUGAAAGAGUACGCUUUGAAAAAGGCUAACCCUUUCUAUGGUUUUUCAAACCAUCUAAUCAAAAUGAAAUUGUGUAUUACCUUGCCUAUUACCUUAGGAAAUGGUGAACACACCACCACAAAAUAUGUUUAGUUCUUUAUAGUAGACCAUCCAAUGGCUUACAAUGCCAUUUUUGGGGGUCCUAUUAUGAGAAUUGAUAAAAUGGUGAUUGCCACUUUUUGUAUGAAGAUUAAUUUCCCUACUAGGAUGGGAUAUAUUUCAUGAAAACAACUAGGCAGUAUCAUAUGUUGUCAGUUAAACAAACACGUGAAUAGGAGCCACAGGGCCAGAGUUCACAAUAGGUAAAGGUGGCUAGCCAGGUUUUAAAUUUAGACAGUCUGGAUUUUAAAAGUAAGGAAAGAAUUCGCAAGCCAGAAGCAGCAGAAAUUACAGAAACUUUGCAAUUGUUUUAUGAUAACACGGAUAAGUUGGUAAUAAUCUUAUUAGAAUUAGCAGAAGAAGAAAAUGAGGGCUUAGUCCAGUGCUUGAGGGAGAAUUUAGACAUUUUUGCAUGGUUAGCAUUGAACAUACCAAGUGUAGAUCCUCAAGUGAUUUCCUAUUGGUUAAAUUGGUCCUUCGAGGUUAAACUAGUCAAGCAAAAAAGAAGAAGGUUUGCUCUACAAGUUGUGGAGGCCAUUAAACAAGAGGUAUGCAAGCUACUUUCAACGGGAUUUAUUAGGGAGGUGGCAGACCCGAACUGGAUGUAAAAUGUUGUGAUGAUGAUGAAGACUGAUGGACAAUGGAGAAUGUGCAUUGAUUUUACUAGUUUUAACAAGGUUUGCCCGAAGGAUAGUUUUCAUUUGUCCUCAAUUUACAUAUUGAUAGAUGAGUCAUCAAGCCACAAGUUCAUGAGCUUUAUGGAUGCGUUCUCAGGGUAUAACCAAAUUCCUAUAGCUCUAAUAGAUCAAGAUGAAAUAGUUUUUGUCAUGGAAGAGGGCUUGUUCUGCUAUCGAAUUAUGCCUUUUUAGUUGAAGAACGCAGAUGCAACCUAUCAGAGAUUGGUUAAUAAGAAUUUCAAAGAGCAGAUUGGCCGUAGUGUUGAGGUCUACGUAGACGGUAUAUUAGUAAAGAGUUCUACCCUGAAAGGGCAUAUUAGGGGUUUUUCUGAAGCUUUUGUUGUUCUGCAAGCCUAUAAUACGAAGUUAAAUCCAAAUAAGUACGCUUUUGGUGUGAGAGAAGGGAAAUUCUUAGGCUUUCUGGUUUCAGAGAAAGGCAUAAAGGAACUUCUUUUAGUUGGACAGAGGAGUGUCAGGCUACUUUUGAAAAGCUCAAGUUUUACCUCACGUCUCCAUCACUUUUGAUGCCGCCUCGAGUAGGGGUGACUCUUUAUCUUUAUCUGGCAACCUUUGAAUAAACAGUAGCAGUAGUUUUGAUCAAGACAGAAGGGGUUCACCAAUUUCCUGUGUACUAUGUUAGUAAAGUGUUGUAGAAUGGCGAACAAAGAUACUCAAAGACACAAAAAAGCUUCUUUUCAGUUUAAUAGUGGCAGCUCGCAAAUUACGACCAUACUUUCAAGCUUAUCCCAUGACGGUCAUGACAAGUCAACCCAUCAAAGAAAUAUUGUUUAAAGUAGAUACCUCGGAAAAAUGACCAAGUGGGAAAUUAAGCUAGUAGAAUUUGGAAUAGAGUAUGCCUCAAGAACAACAAUCAAAGCUCAGAUCUUAGCUGAUUUCAUGGUGGAAUGUUCUUUUGACAGAUCAGUAGAGCAUAUAUGAAACUUUUUAAUUUGAAAAAAUAUUACUCAUAUAAAUGAUGCGAUAGUAUGUCACAUUGGUUAUUGGAAUUUUAUUUGACAAAGUACUCAUUUUGCUUCAUGGUAUUUUGUUACAAAUAUAUAUAUUUGGUUUUAAAAUUUUUUUCAUAUUGAUUAUACAAGAUGUAGUAGUUAGCUCAUUAUAUGGACAAACUAGCCUAACAACGAAGCCAAAAUACUGGACAAUUUAUAUGGAUGGCUCAAUAGCAAAGACGGGAUCUGGAACGACCAUUCUUCUUAUAAACCCUAUUGAGAAUAAAUGGUAGCAUGGACUCUCAUUUGGCUUCCAGGCAUUUAAUAGUGCUGCAGAGUGUGAGGCAUUAAUUCCUAGACUACAAUUAGCUUUACAGUUGGGGGCAAAGGAGUAUGAGGUAUUAAUUUCCAUAGCUUUUAGGACAAAGAAUACCAAAGCUAGCAUUUUAUCUAAGUUAGUGUCCUCUAUAACUAUCGAGCAAAGAGGGAAAAUUUAUUAGAAUAUAGAGCCACCCUAAGUUGUGACACCUAUCAAGUGCUUAAUAUGAGUAAAUAGGAAACAUGUAUGACCCCUAUAAUACAAGAUCUAUAAGGGGAAACUCACAAACUCAACAAAAAAGCUCGUUAAAUACAACAUAAUGCUACAAAAUACGAUAUUAUUAUUUACAUUUAAUAUAUUAUUGUAUCUACAAGUUUCUUAACCCUUAUUCAAUUAAAAUUGUUUAAUCUAUCACCUUUAGAUAUAUCAUGUUAGAGGGUGUUCUUUACAAAAAAAAGGUUACUUCCAACCACUUUUAAGAUGUCUCGAUCCCAUUAAAGCUGAAUAUGUUAUGAGAGAGAUACACGAGGGAAUAUACGAUGAUCACUUGGGAGGAAGACUGUUAGCAGCAAAGGUUCUCAGGUAGGGAUAUUAAUGACCAACUAUAUAGAAAGAUGCACAUCACAUGGUUCACAUUUGUGAUUCUUGCAAAAAACAUGCUCAAGUGCAGUGACCACUAACUGAGCCUAUACAAGUGAUGUAUGGUCCUUGGUCAUUUGCAACUUAGGGAAUAGAUAUUUUAGGUCCAUUUCCAAUAGCCACAACUUAGAAGAAAUUCAUAGUUAUAGCUGUAGACUAUUUUACUAAAUAGAUAGAAGCUGAAACUCUAACUACAAUCAUAGAGAGACAAAUGAAAUCUUUUCUCUGGAAAUCCAUUGUUUGCAGGUUUGACAUUCCAUGUUUGAUUAUAACAGACAAUAAAACCCAAUUCAAUGGAAAAUUUAAGAACUUCUUUAAGGACCUACAAAUUUCUCUAGUUCAAAGCUCUGUAAAAACACCUCAAACGAAUGAUAAAAUAGAAGUAAUGAAUAAGAAAAUCCUAACAACUUUAAAUAAAAAGGUUGAUAAAGCCAAAUGUGUCUAGUUAGAAGAGUUACCAAGAAUUAGAUGGGCCCUGCAAACUUCUCCUCACACAACAUUUGGAAAGACAACAUUCUUACUGGUAUAUAGGGCAGAAGUAGUAAUCCUUGUUAAGAUAGGCUUACGAUCCCACAGAAUAUCACAUUUUGAUGGAAAUGCCAACCAAGAGGCCAUCGAACUCAACUUAGAUUUUAUUAAUGAAGUUAAGGAGACAACAAAAAUCAAGAAUAUUGCGCGAGCUUAGCAAAUUGCUCGAUACUUUAACUCUAGAGUGAAAAACAAACAAUUUCAGUUGAGCGAUCUAGUCUUGAGGAAUACUGAAGCGAGUUUCCCAACAUCACAACAAGGAGAAUGACCUUAAUUGGGAGAGACCCUACAAAAUUGUUGAAAAAAUAGGCUAUGGAGCUUAUAAAAUAGAAAAAAAUGGAUGGCCAUGUUCUUUUUCGUACAUGGAAUGCAUGCUAUAACAAUCUAUUUUCAGUGGUGUCAAAAAUAGUGGUUUCGGAACCACAAUUUUGACUAGUGAGUCAAUAUUUUAUUAUUUAUUUAAUAUUUAUUCAGUUAUUACAGUAUCGUAUUAAAAUAUGGUUAAAAAAUUGUAAUGUUUAGAUGGUUAAUUAAGUAAAAAGGACUAAAUCGUAAAAAUUGUAAAAGUUAAUUACUAUUAGUUAACUAUAUUUAAUGAUUAUGAAUUAUGGUAUGAUUGAAAUAAUUAUCCUCAGAUCCAAUCUAAACACGGUUCACCGGGAUCCUGCGCACCCAACAUUAGCCCGCACCAUUUAAAUCCUCCACGUGUACCUCAUAUCGUUCGAGUACAACGAUUUAGCUACAUUCGCGAGUACGCAUUAAUCCAGCCUCAUCAUCUAGUGUAACUUUGUAAAAAAGGGUCACCGUCUUUCUGUCAAUUCCUUCCUUCCAACCACAUAUAUACAGCACGCCCCUUUUUCAUUUCUCUCCAUCUCUAUAUCUCUCAGCUCUUUUCUUCUCUUGUGUCACUGCUAAUAUUUUUUUUAUUGUCGUCUCCGGCGUUCGAAGAUCAUAAAAAACCGGAGUCGUUUCAAAUGGCUACGAGAACGGAUCUUGAUGGGAGGCCAAUAAAGCCGAUGACGAUAUGCAUGAUCGGUGCCGGAGGCUUCAUCGGCUCCCACCUUUGCGAGAAAUUGAUGUCGGAGACGCCGCACAAGGUGCUCGCCUUGGACGUUUACAAUGACAAGAUCAAGCACCUCCUCGAGCCUGACUCUCUCCCUUGGGCUGGCCGUAUUCAGUUCCACCGACUUAACAUCAAGCACGAUUCUAGGCUCGAAGGCCUCAUCAAGAUGGCAGAUCUCGUAAUUUCUUGCCUUUCAUGCUCUCUUUCUUUUCUUAUAUCAUUGCUACUACUUCCUUUUGCUGAAAAUUAUGUUCAGACUGAUCUUUUGCUGUUUCUCUUUAUUUUCCGCUUGACUGCUUUUUCUUCGUUUUGUUUGUUUAGUGUUCCCUUUUGUUUUAAUUUAUUAGAUCUCAUGCAAUCUUGUUUUUGUUUAUGUGAUUUUGACGUUCCUCUGGAGCUAAUUUUCUCUCAUUGUUGUUUAAAAGCUAGUUUCUUAUUAUCUGUUUGAUUUAUUUUGUUGAGUUUCAAAAGUUCCUGCUCAAUUUAUGGCGAUUGAUUUGGUUUUUAUUGUUUUUCUGGCAAUGUAGGUGAUAAAUCUUGCUGCCAUCUGUACUCCGGCAGAUUAUAAUACGCGUCCACUAGACACGAUUUACAGCAAUUUUAUUGAUGCACUUCCUGUGGUAAGCAUUUCUCUUGUAAUUGUUUUUUUGUCAUCUUUUAUUUCUCUUUUAGUUAGAUUGAUGUCGAUGUGAAUGAGGGGGGAUUUAAUUGUUACUAGCUUUUUGAGAUCGAAGUUGAAAUCAAUGUUGUGAACUUUUGUGGUUUGAUAGGUGAAGUACUGUUCAGAGAACAACAAGCGUCUCAUUCACUUCUCUACUUGUGAAGUGUAUGGAAAAACUAUUGGAAGCUUUCUUCCUAAAGAUUCUCCUCUCCGUCAGGUAACCUUUCACUUUCCUUUUUUAAUAACUUAAUUGAGUAUCUCUUGAAAAAGGAUUUUACAUCUAUGCUUUGCUUUUAACAGGGUAACAUGUAUGGUUUUGUAUAGAUCUUUCGGUGGUCUUUUUAUGUGAAAGAUCCAAUGUAUAUUUUUUGAUUUAUAGUUUAAUAUUUUAGUAGGAAAAAAAAAUUGGAGUUGGUGUUGAGCUGAAAUGUCAAGCUAUUUUAAAUGAAUGAAUCUUGAAAUUGGAUGGUCAGCAGACAUUGGUCAACGCCCUCCUAAAAAAAUGGAGGCUCGUUGGUGGGAGUUUAUGUGGUUGUUUGGUUCAAUGUAAUAGCAACUUACUGUGAUAGUUGAAUGGUUAAUGAGGUCUUACUUAGUCUAUCAAGUUGUACCUAUGCGUUGUUUAUAACAAGUUAUGCCAAUUUUAUUUGCUGGUCAGCCCCUUUAUGCGUAAGCAGUGUCAAGCCGAGAUCUUUAUUCCUGCACUGAUUAUUGAUAUGUUCUUCUCAAGUUUUUAAAAUUUGUUGACUAUCAUUUAUUUUCUUUCUUUGUCAGUCAUGUUUAUAACACCAACUAUAAGAAGCUAUCUUAUUUUGGUUUUAGUUGUGCUUGUACUGAAGUAAGAGACCUUUUUCUAUAUAAAAAAAAAAGGAGACUUUUGGAAAAGCUCUUUUAUUAAUUUGUUUGCUUCAUGAGGCUGAAGGGUUCAAACUAUGCCAUUUUUUAAAAGACUUUUGUUUAUCAAGCAAUCUGCUUUUUAGACGUAUUUUAUGUGUAUGGCUAAAUCUGUGGUGAUGCUGAGAAUGAUUUAUUAUGCUUUUUUUUUGUUUUUUUCUCCUUUAAAUUUUUAAGUUUCCUUUAGUGUUAUUGUUCCUUUUCCCCUCCCAUAUUUAUAGAUGUUAUUAAUAUGUUCAUUCUCUGAUUUAUGUGAUAUAGGAUCCUGCCUACUAUGUUCUUAAGGAAGAUACUUCCCCCUGCAUUUUUGGUUCAAUUGAGAAGCAGAGGUGGUCCUAUGCAUGUGCUAAGCAGUUGAUUGAGAGGCUUAUUUAUGGUUAGCAUCUUAUCAAGUAGCCUGGUCCCAAUAGAGAUGCUUAGAAUAAUAUUAACUGACUUCGUUUUAUAUCCAUUUCAGCUGAAGGGGCAGAGAAUGGCCUCGAGUUCACUAUUGUGAGGCCUUUUAACUGGAUUGGACCCAGGAUGGAUUUCAUUCCUGGCAUUGAUGGUCCUAGUGAGGGAGUUCCCAGAGUUCUUGCAUGCUUUAGUAAUGUUAGUCGAACUCUUUUCCUAAUUCAAGGAAUCCUAGAAGCCAUCUAUAAUUUCUCCUUUCAAUUCUUUUGAUAGUUAUAUUUUGAAUGUUAAUUUUUCUUUUUCCUGUUUAGAAUCUCCUACGUCGUGAACCACUUAAGCUUGUGGAUGGUGGCGAAUCUCAGAGAACUUUUAUAUACAUAAAGGAUGCUAUUGAAGCUGUUCUCUUGAUGAUUGUGCGUAUUAACUUGUCUCUUCUUACUCGCCCUCUUCCCUCCCUCAUCCCCACAUCUAGCCAAAUGCAGAAAUUAAACUAAACUGUUGGGUGUCAUUUGUCCAGGAAAAUCCAGAUAGGGCCAAUGGCCAUAUUUUCAAUGUGGGUAACCCGAACAAUGAAGUCACAGUUAGGCAACUUGCUGAAAUGAUGACUAAGGUGAAGCACAUAGUUUCUAUUGUUCGUAUUUUUAUUUUUUUUAUAGUGGUGUAUUCGAUCACAUGUAAUUUAUAACUACAUGCCUUUGGGCUCUUCAGGUCUAUGCCAAGGUUAGUGGAGAAACUGUGCUGGAGUCUCCAACAGUUGAUGUCAGCUCCAAGGAAUUUUAUGGUGAGGGUUAUGAUGAUAGUGACAAGAGAAUUCCAGACAUGACCAUAAUAAACAAACAACUCGGUAGGUUGUGCUUUUCUUAGUUGUUCUCAUAUGAUCUUUGGAUUUUCAUCUUGUAAGUGAAUUGAGCAUCUGAUCAAUUGUUUAAUUACUGCAACAGGUUGGAACCCCAAGACAUCCCUUUGGGACUUGCUCGAAUCUACCCUAACCUACCAACACAGGACUUAUGCCGAGGCUAUUAAGAAAUCCAUAGCAAAACCUUCUGCAUCCUAAAGGAGGCUAGAUGUUUAAACCACGGCUAAGAAAGGACUCAUUAAAUGUGCUUCAUGGCAAAUGUUUCAAUUCUUCUUUCCCCCCCUUCUUUUAGGAAGUCUUAAAUAUAUCAUACUGUUGCUUUUCUUUAUACCCCCCCCUUUUUUUUUUGUCUUCCCCGUGUUGGUAGUUGAUAGCUCACUGUAGCUCUGGCAGCUAUGUUAUCAGAAUGGUUUUAGACGUUCUUACUGGGGAAUGGUAUUGUUUUAGUAUUAUAAUUAUUAUUCCAGUGGAGCUUUGAGCUGCAGCAGCAUGUUGGGGGCGUUAAAUAUUACACAAAAGGAAAGGAAAAACUGUUUUUAUGGUUUUUUAGAUGGUUCUAUAAUUUGUCUCACCUGAGUUUUGUUAAUUUGUUUGAACCUCUUCACUUGCUCAUGUUGUUAUUAUUAUUUUGUUCUUUUUCUCAUUUCCUAAGCAAAUCGAAGGGAAGAGACUAAACUGCCUGUUUAGUCACUAGUAAGACCGUCAUGGUGUUGAAGAAUUAACAGCGGAGUAACUAAUUAAAACAAAUUUGAAAAUUUUAGGAAUUAAAUUGAAAUUUUGAUAGUUAGGUGACCAAAAACAGAACUACAGUGAAAAUUUAGUUCUAAAUAAGUAGCUAACCCUAAAAAAAUAAAGUAAAAUAGCUCUAUUUUCUGGUCUAGGUUUCAUAAUUUCCACCAAUAAACUAUUGCCGUAUAGAAUAGUAACUUUCGAUUAGCCACCCUUAUAAAUGAUUUUUUUUUUAAAUUUCGAGUUAAUCAAAUUGAGUUAUUUGAGUUUAUAGAGUCAAUUCGAAUAAGUAAUUCAAGUUUCGAGUUGAGUUAAAUUUUACAAUUUAAUAACUCGAAUAGUUUGAAUAGUUCAAAUGAUAGAUGGAUGUAAAUAUCCCUUUUGGUCACUAUUAAUUUUGAAAAUGAAAAAAAUUGAUCUUUUUAACAAAAAUUUUAAAAUAAUCAAAAUAAUUUUAAAUAAUUUUUAAAAUUAAAAAUACUUAUAAAAUUUUUAAAAUUUAUAUUUUAAAAAAAUUUAAAAAUUCUAAAGAAUAUAUUAAAAAAUUUAAAAAUUAUAAAAUAUAAUUUUGGGGCCUAAAUAAGUAAAUUAAUGAUUUAAGUUUAUUAUAAUAAAGUAUUAUUUCUCUUAUUUUGCUUUGAAAGAGUUUUUUAAAUAUAUAUGGUUUUAAAUUUAUGUUCUCUAACAUGAAAAUAAUUGUACUGUAAUGAGAUUUUAAUUUGAUAUGUUUAAAUUUUUUAAAUUUAAUUCGAACAAUUUAAUUCAAAAAAUUUCAUUCGAUUCAACUUGAUUCGUAUUUAUCGGAGGUAAGUGAGCAUAAUAUUUUAGAGGAAAGUGUUAGGUGUUGUUUGCAUAAUGUGGAUAGUAAUUAAUUAAAUAAAUAAAACUCUUAAAUAAACUAACCGACCGUAAUUAAGGAGUUUUAUUUACAAUAUAUCUCUAGGAAUUUAAUAUAAACUUUUUUUUUUAAAAUAAUAAUGUACUAAGCUAAAUAUCUAGACUUGAACUCAUAUUACACUCUCUUCAUCCGCGUGAUCGAACAUUACAAAAUAAUUCAUCUAUUUGAUCGAUUUCUUAGAUAAAUUAGGAUUCAUUAUUUCUUUGAAGAUUUUGCAACUUACUUUCUUUAAAUUGAUUUUUUAUUUGUUUUCUUGCAAGGUGGAAUCAGGGGCUCUUAUAAUUUUUUUUAGGGAGGGAAAUUGAAUUAUAAUUUUUAAGAGAUUAAAAUAUAAUUUUAUUAUAGGUUAACUUUAUUGUUUUAGGAUUUAAUAGAACUUUUCUCAUUUGAGACGGCAAAAUGCAAUUUUAUCCUAUAUUAAUUUAUAAUUUAAUCAUUUAUAAGGGGGUUGAAUAAUUAUUUUUUUUUUCAUUUUGAAAGGGGUCAAGGCUCUUGUCUACCCCUUAAAUUGACCCAUCUAUUUAAGUGGAGAGAUUGGUUGUAAAUACAAGUGCUAAUAAUAAGGAAUUAUUGUGAGGAAUCGAAAGUUGCAGAUUUAAUCAUGUCAUUAAGUUGCAAAGAGUUUCCUUGUGGUCAACAAGGUAUUCCAUUCACAUCAACAACGACUUCUUUACCUUUUUGUUUGUUUGUUUGUUUGUUGUAAUCCCACCAACAUGUAUAAAAUAGUUCCUUACUGUUCCAAUUAUUUCUAAAAGUCAUAUUGGAUAACUGGACAUAGAACACAAUGCAAACAAAAAGUGAGAAGUACGCAAAAGUUGACAACAUUUUGUGAGGGAAAAGAAAUCUACGUUGAACAAAAACAAAUUCAUGCGAUAGACAAAAAGGAGUAAUUGAUUAAUUGAAGUAAAUGUGAUAAUAUGAAUAUUUGAGAAUCAUGUUCUAAUGAUGAUUUAGAAGAUAGAGACAGGUUACUCUGUGAAGAAGAAAGUGUAACAAAAGAAAUUUUAAAUUAUUAGGUUGUUCACUAAAGUAUAUAGUUUAGAUAAGUUUGAAACAUUUUAUCCUCCUAAAGAGUUAUUUUUUAUGACAUCGUUGGUGAGAUUAUUUCAUAUAAAAGAUUGAGUGUAAAAGAGGUUGAAAGUGAUAAAAACCAAAUUGAAGCCACACCUAGUGCAUAAUAGCAUACACAAAAUUAAAAUUGAGAAAAGAAUGAAAAGAACCAAAUAUGUUGUAUAUGCAAAAUAGAGAAGUGGUUAUGUUUUAACUAACUAUAACUUGAAUUUGUCUAUUGGUGUUUAUUUAUUUUAAGAUUUUAGUAAUCCACCAAGAGGAACUUAAUUACAUUAUUCCACCCAUAAUAGAAGAUUUUACAUGUGGGAGCAAGUUAAAUUGAACAUUUAAAGUUUUCCACACUGUUGGAAAAUAUGGACAUCACAUAUAUAAUAAUAGUAAUUGCACGUUAUUAUUUACUAUCAUAAAAGAUUAGCCAAAAUUAAAAGUGAUCUAAUUUGGUUAAGGUUUAUUGGGCUUUAGUUAUUAAAUAAAGUACGAGUCAAAUAUGUGUAGAUACUCUAGUAACUAGUUUCUAAUUGAUGAUGGGAUGAUUAGAAAUUAGGAUUAAUCUGCAAAGGUUAUACAUUAGGGUUAUGGUCUUCAUACUACACAUAACGUAACUUUUUUAAUAUCUCAUCUUUAGAAAGUAGAGAGCCACCUUCUCUAAAUUACUUGUGUGCUAAUUUAGAAGAUCAAAGCCAUAAAAUCCGAAGAUUUCAAGAAAUCAAUGAAUCCAAGUACGCUUCCGUAUCUAACUUUGUUCUUGAUGAUUUUACAUGACAGAUCCUAAUUUAUUAAGCUUUAUUUCAAAUUUAUUUUUGCAGUUCUAACAAUAAUAAAUAAGCAAAGGUAGGCAUGCCUUGAAAUGCUAGAAUGUGUAUGCCACUAAUUUUUGCUUUGUAGAUAAUGCAUGACCAAUUCUUAUUUAGAGAGAGUAAGCUUAGCAUGUUUAAUUGUCCCAAGAGUGGUUAUAGUGAUGAUUUAAUGGACUUUGUUGGCGUUGGUAGAAUUUGACUUGAAAUUUUCACCCUAUUAUUUGAAUGAUUCUUCGUUAAUUUCUUAUUAAAUUCUGGCAUGAUAAUCUCAUAUUGAUUUUGUGGUAGAUUUAUUUAGGUUUGAGAGGAUUAAACUAAGUAAUUUUGUUGUGUUGGACAGAUUUUGAAUGCAUGCUAUGAGUUUGACAAUGCAACCAAUCUUGCAAAUUGAACUUUAUGAAAAUGGAACACUUGCAUGAUGUUCUUAAAAAUAUUGUUUGACAUCCUCACGGUCUGCCGAAUUUUUGCAUGAUUUCUAUUUGGUAGUCAUGGAAAAAAAAGGAAUUUAAGUUUUAUAGAAUAAUUAAAAUUUUAAAAAUAGAGGGACUAAAUUUGUUAAAAUGAAAGAAAAAGAAAAUUGCAAAUAUUUUAUUUCUUCGUUAUACGUUGUCAUUCAAUUAACUCAAAACUCAUGCAAUAGCUUGAGGUUUUAUUAUAUUACUAGGGACAACUACGACAAAGAUAAAGAGCGCUGCCAUCCAUUUUUAUUAUGUAGCUAUAUAUCAUUAUUUCCUUUCCCAUUUGCUGACGAGCUUCCAUGGCCUACUUCACUUGACACUGCAAUGCGACAACAAAAACAAAUGCAUUCAUCAGUUGAGCUUGGGUCAUUAAUUGUCCUUUGCCUUAAUUCUGUGAAAUUUAAUUUUAAAUUUGAGUGGUUAAAAUGUAGGAAGAACCUUUUGCAGUUAGUGCUGGGGCUGAUCUUGAAAGGGCUGUGCACCCCACACAUGCCUGGGAGUUUGUUCGUAAGGUCAUAGUUGAUGCCAGAAAUGCUGGCAGCUAAUGCUUUGACGCAGUUGCAAGCUGAUUGGCGCUCUGGAGUUGAUUGGGCAGCCUCGUUGAGAGAUCUGAUCCCAUUGCAGCAAGAUGCAGGCACGCCACCAGCACCGUUGUUUCUCACGUAAGGAAUGCAGGGUGCCAAGGCUGAUAUGGCUUGGCCACAACUUAUGGCCCCUUCAGCCAGGGGUGCACCCACAACCAAGCACAAGACCACACCACAUGCAAGCUUGAGGGCCACAGUGCUGGCCAUAUGAUUCACUAAUUAGAAGAAAUCAAACAAUUUUAUAUAACUUGUAAGGAAAAUUGAUU